GAUGAACGCUGGCGGCGUGCCUAAUACAUGCAAGUCGAGCGAACGGACGAGAAGCUUGCUUCUCUGAUGUUAGCGGCGGACGGGUGAGUAACACGUGGAUAACCUACCUAUAAGACUGGGAUAACUUCGGGAAACCGGAGCUAAUACCGGAUGAUAUUUUGAACCGCAUGGUUCAAAAGUGAAAGACGGUCUUGCUGUCACUUAUAGAUGGAUCCGCGCUGCAUUAGCUAGUUGGUAAGGUAACGGCUUACCGAGGCAACGAUGCAUAGCCGACCUGAGAGGGUGAUCGGCCACACUGGAACUGAGACACGGUCCAGACUCCUACGGGAGGCAGCAGUAGGGAAUCUUCCGCAAUGGGCGAAAGCCUGACGGAGCAACGCCGCGUGAGUGAUGAAGGUCUUCGGAUCGUAAAACUCUGUUAUUAGGGAAGAACAUAUGUGUAAGUAACUGUGCACAUCUUGACGGUACCUAAUCAGAAGGCCACGGCUAACUACGUG
RNAcentral lists this ribosomal RNA (497 nucleotides) under uncultured bacterium. RNAcentral's name for it is "partial 16S ribosomal RNA". It matches the Rfam family "Bacterial small subunit ribosomal RNA", at positions 28 to 507 of the family's 1533-position model. The record is from RNAcentral.